CGUACUCGAAGAGGCUACAAAAGAAGGAUUUCUAUGCGCCAGGCCGCAUCGCAAAAUAAAACGUCAUCUACAAGAUGCGGAACAUUCGAAACAGCUUUACAUAGCGACGUUUGCUGAAAAAUUAGCGGUCACCGUGGUGGAGCGGUUAUGACGUUUAUUAGCGACCGUGAGAAAUUUCCCGUCAGUAGACCCAAAUGAAUAAUUCCGAAGAUUGCAUUUCAUAAUUUGAGAUAAUGUUUCAAAAACUUUGGUUACGUGUAUUAUAG
Dreissena polymorpha is the source of this 266-nucleotide long non-coding RNA. RefSeq lists it as uncharacterized. Lineage: Eukaryota; Metazoa; Mollusca; Bivalvia; Myida; Dreissenidae. The record is from RefSeq and is a predicted model, not a curated record. The transcript has 3 exons.